Molecule: transfer RNA, 72 nt
Filed under: Cavia porcellus (domestic guinea pig)
Lineage: Eukaryota; Metazoa; Chordata; Mammalia; Rodentia; Caviidae
Rfam family: tRNA
About the family: Transfer RNA (tRNA) molecules are approximately 80 nucleotides in length. Their secondary structure includes four short double-helical elements and three loops (D, anti-codon, and T loops).
Source: Rfam by way of RNAcentral
GGGGAAAGAGCUCAGUGGUGCAGUGCCUGCCUGGUAAACACAAGGUCCUGAGUUCAAUUCCCAGUAUCUCCC